RNAcentral lists this transfer RNA (74 nucleotides) under Listeria monocytogenes. Its description in RNAcentral is "tRNA-Ile". It matches the Rfam family "tRNA". Rfam says of the family: Transfer RNA (tRNA) molecules are approximately 80 nucleotides in length. The record is from RNAcentral. Lineage: Bacteria; Bacillati; Bacillota; Bacilli; Caryophanales; Listeriaceae.
GGGCCUAUAGCUCAGCUGGUUAGAGCGCACGCCCGAUAAGCGUGAGGUCGAUGGUUCGAGUCCAUUUAGGCCCA